RNAcentral lists this ribosomal RNA (466 nucleotides) under uncultured bacterium. RNAcentral's name for it is "partial 16S ribosomal RNA". It matches the Rfam family "Bacterial small subunit ribosomal RNA", at positions 28 to 507 of the family's 1533-position model. The record is from RNAcentral.
GAUGAACGCUGGCGGCGUGCUUAACACAUGCAAGUCGAACGAUGAAGCCCAGCUUGCUGGGUGGAUUAGUGGCGAACGGGUGAGUAACACGUGAGUAACCUGCCCUUCACUCUGGGAUAAGCCUGGUAAACUGGGUCUAAUACCGGAUAGGAGCGUCCCCCGCAUGGUGGGGGUUGGAAAGAUUUAUCGGUUUUGGAUGGACUCGCGGCCUAUCAGCUGGUUUGUGAGGUAAUGGCUCACCAAGGCGACGACGGGUAGCCGGCCUGAGAGGGUGACCGGCCACACGGGGACUGAGACACGGCCCAGACUCCAACGGGAGGCAGCAGUGGGGAAUAUUGCACAAUGGGCCCAAGCCUGAUGCAGCGACGCCGCGUGAGGGAUGACGGCCUUCGGGUUGUAAACCUCUUUCAGUAGGGAAGAAGCGAAAGUGACGGUACCUGCAGAAGAAGCACCGGCUAACUACGUG